Molecule: microRNA, 26 nt
Filed under: Tribolium castaneum (red flour beetle)
Lineage: Eukaryota; Metazoa; Arthropoda; Insecta; Coleoptera; Tenebrionidae
Description: tca-miR-3882-5p
Source: miRBase by way of RNAcentral
UUGACACAUCGGUGUUCUACCAUGCA